UGCGUAGGCGGAAUAUUAAGUCAGUGGUGAAAUCCUGCGGCUCAACCGUAGAACUGCCAUUGAUACUGAUAUUCUUGAAUGUAGUUGAGGUAGGCGGAAUGUGUAAUGUAGCGGUGAAAUGCUUAGAUAUUACACAGAACACCGAUUGCGAAGGCAGCUUACUAAACUAUGAUUGACGCUGAGGCACGAAAGCGUGGGGAGAGAAAAGGAUUAGAUACCCGGGGAGGCC
This 229-nucleotide ribosomal RNA is filed under the name uncultured bacterium. Its description in RNAcentral is "partial 16S ribosomal RNA". It matches the Rfam family "Bacterial small subunit ribosomal RNA", at positions 568 to 796 of the family's 1533-position model. The record is from RNAcentral.